RNAcentral lists this ribosomal RNA (916 nucleotides) under uncultured marine archaeon. RNAcentral describes it as "bacterial SSU rRNA". It matches the Rfam family "Archaeal small subunit ribosomal RNA", at positions 1 to 922 of the family's 1478-position model. The record is from RNAcentral.
UCCGGUUGAUCCUGCCGAAGGCUACUGCUAUUGGAGUUCGAUUAAGCCAUGCGAGUCUAAGGGAUACUUGUAUCCCUGGCAUAAUGCUCAGUAACACGUGGAUAAUCUGCCCUCAGGUGAGGAAUAAACCCGGGAAACUGGGGCUAAUACCUCAUAGACACAGAAAGCUGGAAUGCUUCUGUGUUCAAAGCUCCGGCGCCUGAGGAUGAGUCUGCGGCCUAUCAGGUUGUAGUCAGGGUCAUGACCUGACUAGCCAACGACGGGUACGGGGUGUGAGAGCACUUGCCCGGAGAUGGUUUCUGAGACACGAAACCAGGCCCUACGGGGCGCAGCAGGCGCGAAAACUUCGCAAUGCGGGAAACCGUGACGAGGGAACUCCAAGUGUCUAUGCAUUGCAUAGACUGUUUUUUAGCCUAAAUAGCUAAAAGAGUAAGAGGUGGGCAAGACCGGUGCCAGCCGCCGCGGUAACACCGGCACCUCGAGUGGUAGCCACUAUUAUUGGGCCUAAAGCGUUCGUAGCCGGUUUGGUAAAUUCUUGGGUAAAUCGUACAGCUUAACUGUGCGGAUUCCGGGGACACUACCAGACUUGAGACCGGGAGAGAUCAGAGGUACUUGUAGGGGAGCGGUGAAAUGUUGUAAUCCUACAGGGACCACCAGUGGCGAAGGCGUCUGAUCAUAACGGCUUUGACGGUGAGGAACGAAACCCUGGGGCGCAAACGGGAUUAGAUACCCCGGUAGUCCAGGGCGUAAACGCUGCUGACUUGGUGUUGGAGAUCCUACGAGGGUGUCCAGUGCUGGCGCGAAGGCAUUUAGUCAGCCGCCUGGGGAGUACGGUCGCAAGACUGAAACUUAAAGGAAUUGGCGGGGGAGCACUGCAACGUGUGGAGCGUGCGGUUUAAUUGGAUUCAACGCCGGG